AUACUACCUCUUUGUAUCAUAUUUUGUUAUUCUGGUCACAGAAUGACCUAGUAUUCUGUACCAGGGAAGGUAGUUC
MicroRNA precursor from Pan troglodytes (chimpanzee), 76 nucleotides. It matches the Rfam family "mir-630 microRNA precursor family". NCBI's taxonomy places the organism in Eukaryota, Metazoa, Chordata, Mammalia, Primates, Hominidae. The record is from Rfam.